Molecule: unclassified non-coding RNA, 337 nt
Filed under: soil metagenome
Description: partial contains 5.8S ribosomal RNA, internal transcribed spacer 2, and large subunit ribosomal RNA
Rfam family: 5.8S ribosomal RNA (bases 1-120)
Source: RNAcentral
GAUGAAGAACGCAGCGAAAUGCGAUAAGUAGUGUGAAUUGCAGAAUUCAGUGAAUCAUCGAAUCUUUGAACGCACAUUGCGCCCCUUGGUAUUCCAUGGGGCAUGCCUGUUCGAGCGUCAUUUGUACCUUCAAGCUCUGCUUGGUGUUGGGUGUUUGUCUCGCCUCUGCGUGUAGACUCGCCUCAGAACAAUUGGCAGCCGGCGUAUUGAUUUCGGAGCGCAGUACAUCUCGCGCUUUGCACUCAUAACGACGACGUCCAAAAGUACAUUUUUACACUCUUGACCUCGGAUCAGGUAGGGAUACCCGCUGAACUUAAGCAUAUCAAUAAGCGGAGGA